GAUGAACGCUGGCGGCGUGCCUAAUACAUGCAAGUCGAGCGAACAGACGAGGAGCUUGCUCCUCUGACGUUAGCGGCGGACGGGUGAGUAACACGUGGAUAACCUACCUAUAAGACUGGGAUAACUUCGGGAAACCGGAGCUAAUACCGGAUAAUAUAUUGAACCGCAUGGUUCAAUAGUGAAAGACGGUUUUGCUGUCACUUAUAGAUGGAUCCGCGCCGCAUUAGCUAGUUGGUAAGGUAACGGCUUACCAAGGCAACGAUGCGUAGCCGACCUGAGAGGGUGGUCGGCCACCUGGGAACUGAGACACGGUCCAGACUCCUACGGGAGGCAGCAGUAGGGAAUCUUCCGCAAUGGGCGAAAGCCUGACGGAGCAACGCCGCGUGAGUGAUGAAGGUCUUCGGAUCGUAAAACUCUGUUAUUAGGGAAGAACAAAUGUGUAAGUAACUAUGCACGUCUUGACGGUACCUAAUCAGAAAGCCACGGCUAACUACGUG
Molecule: ribosomal RNA, 497 nt
Filed under: uncultured bacterium
Lineage: Bacteria
Description: partial 16S ribosomal RNA
Rfam family: Bacterial small subunit ribosomal RNA
Source: RNAcentral